CAGUCGAACGAGAACGGACUAUAGCUUGCUAUAGUUGUCAGCUAAGUGGCGCACGGGUGAGUAAUAUAUAGGUAAUGUGCCCUAGAGAGGGGGAUAACAGUUGGAAACGACCGCUAACACCCCAUAUGCCCUUAAGACAUAAGUCUGCAGGGGAAAUAUUUAUAGCUCUAGGAUCGGCCUGUACGGUAUCAGCUAGUUGGUGAGGUAAUGGCUCACCAAGGCAAUGACGCCUAACUGGUUUGAGAGGGUGAUCAGUCACACUGGAACUGAGACACGGUCCAGACUCCUACGGGAGGCAGCAGUGGGGAAUAUUGCACAAUGGGGGAAACCCUGACGCAGCAACGCCGCGUGGAGGAUGACACAUUUCGGUGCGUAAACUCCUUUUAUAUAGGAAGAUAAUGACGGUACUAUAUGAAUAAGCGCCGGCUAACUCCGUGCCAGCAGCCGCGGUAAUACGGAGGGCGCAAGCGUUACUCGGAAUCACUGGGCGUAAAGAGCGUGUAGGCGGGUUAAUAAGUUUGAAGUGAAAUCCUAUGGCUCAACCAUAGAACUGCUUUGAAAACUGUUAACCUAGAAUAUGGGAGAGGUAGAUGGAAUUUCUGG
This 603-nucleotide ribosomal RNA is filed under the name uncultured Enterobacter sp. RNAcentral describes it as "bacterial SSU rRNA". It matches the Rfam family "Bacterial small subunit ribosomal RNA", at positions 59 to 673 of the family's 1533-position model. The record is from RNAcentral. Lineage: Bacteria; Pseudomonadati; Pseudomonadota; Gammaproteobacteria; Enterobacterales; Enterobacteriaceae.